This 988-nucleotide long non-coding RNA is filed under the name Homo sapiens (human). Its description in RNAcentral is "small nucleolar RNA host gene 17, transcript variant 11 (SNHG17)". Lineage: Eukaryota; Metazoa; Chordata; Mammalia; Primates; Hominidae. The record is from RNAcentral.
AGUCCUUCGCCGUCCCUCGCCGUCCUUCGCCAUCGCACGCCACCGCACCCCAUCUCUCGAAAUCUGCAGACAUCUUGAUUUUUCCCACGCUGUCUGUCAGGUCUCCGCCGCCACUCGACGCCAGGGCGCCGGGUGAGUCCACAGCAGGGCGCAUGGUCGGCUCCACUCUCACCAUCGGGGGAAACUGAGGCCCCGGGGAAGGCGGCCAGAGAGGUCAGGCCCUGUCCUUGGUGCAGUGUCUCGUCCUCUUUGCCGGAGUGAGCCCCCCAGGAUUCGCGUGUCCUCGGGAAAGACACUGGCAGGCCUUGUGGGCUGUGCUGCACCUCGGACGGCUUCGCACCAGCCAGCGCCCUCUCUCUCCUGCAGCACUCUGAUCUGCACCCCCUGAGGGGCUUCCACUGUCCGCGGGGUGAGAAUGCCCCUGGGAGUGUCACAUGACUGCCGCCCCAUGUGUGUGAGAGGCGUCCUCUGGGAGAGCAUGGAUCCUGAGGUCCCAGGAUUGUCAGCUGACCUCUGUCCUGUGUGCCCAGUGGCCCCAGGUGACGUGUCUUCAAGAAGAGGCUGAGCUGCGGUGCUUGUAAGGUCUCAGCCUUAGAUCCAAGGACAGUCCAAGGAAGUCCUAAGACCAUGGAGUUGGUGAUCUGGGAUCUGGGUUUGCUGAUAUUUCUCACCGUGAAUCUCUUGGUGGUGUUUGUGGGCACGAGAGGGGCAGAGAAUGGAGAGUGAGGCUACCACAUGAAGCGUCACCAGAGCUGCUCCCUGCUGCCUGCUCAGAGCACCCCGGAUCCACUGUUCAAUCUGCACAAGAUUCGGGGUCCAGACAUGGGAGACUUCAGCUGCCUCAGAGGACCGUGGACAGGGAAGGCCAGCCUCGCAUCCCUCUGUCCAUGCCUGGAAUGACUUUAAUAACCAAGAGUUUUAUUUUUGAAUUUGUAGCUGUCGUUCACUUUUUACCCACCCAUUCAAUAAACCUUACAGAAUUGCUCCA